CGUAGGGUGCGAGCGUUGUCCGGAAUUACUGGGCGUAAAGAGCUCGUAGGCGGUUUGUCGCGUCGUCUGUGAAAUUCUGCAACUCAAUUGCAGGCGUGCAGGCGAUACGGGCAGACUUGAGUACUACAGGGGAGACUGGAAUUCCUGGUGUAGCGGUGAAAUGCGCAGAUAUCAGGAGGAACACCGGUGGCGAAGGCGGGUCUCUGGGUAGUAACUGACGCUGAGGAGCGAAAGCGUGGGUAGCGAACAGGAUU
This 254-nucleotide ribosomal RNA is filed under the name uncultured bacterium. RNAcentral's name for it is "partial 16S ribosomal RNA". It matches the Rfam family "Bacterial small subunit ribosomal RNA", at positions 526 to 779 of the family's 1533-position model. The record is from RNAcentral.